RNAcentral lists this ribosomal RNA (1551 nucleotides) under Triticum aestivum (bread wheat). RNAcentral's name for it is "partial small subunit ribosomal RNA". Lineage: Eukaryota; Viridiplantae; Streptophyta; Magnoliopsida; Poales; Poaceae. The record is from RNAcentral.
UACCUCGUCAACCAUCAGAGCGAAGGUCCAAAAAAAAGCAGGGUGGUUGUGGCCAAAUAAAAGCAGGAGGGAGGGUGGAGGGUGCAGGCAAAAAAAGCGACCAAAAAAGCAGUGGAGGGUGUGGGGUGCGGCGUUUUUUAGUCGGACAGCUAGGAUAGGGGCUAGAGGUAGUAGAGCUAUCAAGAAAGCAACGGCGGCGGCGGCAUGCUCCCCUCUGGGGCGGCGGCGGCUCCCCUCCCCUGCUUUGGCGGCUCCCCUCUACGGCGGCGGAGGCAGGCUCCCCUCUUCGUCCCCUCUUCGACAGCAGGCUCCCCUCUGGGACGGCGGCGCCUAGGUCCCGUCCCGCCGAACUUAGGGACAGGGGCUCCAGCGGGGGCGGCUAGAGGACCUCUGCCGCAGUGGUCCCCGAGGCUCUGGUCCGGCUCUAGGGGACAUCGGACCCUCCUCAAGUCACUGGGCAGGCUUCGCCUCGAGCAGACGCUGGUGUGCGAGACCCGCCAGGACGUCCUCCGGAAGCUGACAUCGUUGCACCUGUAGAUGCCCUCCGACCGCUAACCCUUUAGAUGGCGUAAUAAGAACACACUUCUCACCUGACGGUGUGGACAAACGCUUCGGGAACCACUGUAACGACUACAUAGACACCGUCAUGAUCGAUAAACAAGACCCCAGUUUCCUAAUACAUUACCACGUUCCAGUCUACUCUUCGUCGUUUACUUUCGUGAAGAACUUUUACAACCUAGAAGUUACACAAGCCUGGUGACACUAACCAAACCUUUGUCACCAGAACUCCGAGACAGAGCUUUACAACUAUGUAAUGGGCAGUAGGUAAAAGACGUUCACGCAGGUUGCUUGAUACUUUAAUUCUUUAAUGUCCUCUACAAAGUAGACCACUUCGUCUUUUUAAAGGGACGUCGAAAGUCUACAAUGACCUUAUUAGUUUUUAAACUAAGAGAAAGUUUACUAAUGAACAUAAUGUUCUACGAAUAGGUACCCGUGUCACUAAGACGAAAACCUGUAAACGUCGUUCUCUACUUAAAUAAUUGAGAUUACCUAGGGGGUAAAAGGAAAGAUCCUUUUUAGUUCUCAAUACCGAUGAUAUGUCUCCCGACGUGAAAAAGGUACCACCUCGUUCGUGCGUACAACCUUCUACUCCUUAUGCUCAAAAACGUGCACUGUAUAAGCUACUUUACGUCACGUCUAGUGUGAAGUCGGCGAGGUUAGUUGUGGUGGUGUAAGAUGUAUAAGUAAGGUCAAUCUCGGGAGUAACUUUCAGAUUUUCUCUCAGUAACGGGACGAAGUCUCGACCAUAAAGUUCGUUGGCUUUAUACCUAAAAACCACUCGACGUGUACGAGAACAACUCAACCAAGAAACCGUCACGUGAUAGUGGAGGACGCUAUCGACUCUUGGCAAAAUGUACAGUUAGUAUGUAUCUUGUCCUAUAGUAGGCAGCGCCCUCCCUUCAACCUCUACUACCUAGGCCCCUCUACGUCGUCGACGACCGUCCCCGUGGCGAUAAGUGCACACACAAACAACGGCGAAGAGUGCACAUC